This 509-nucleotide ribosomal RNA is filed under the name uncultured bacterium. RNAcentral's name for it is "bacterial SSU rRNA". It matches the Rfam family "Bacterial small subunit ribosomal RNA", at positions 28 to 537 of the family's 1533-position model. The record is from RNAcentral.
GACGAACGCUGGCGGCGUGCCUAACACAUGCAAGUCGAGCGGAGUCGAUCGACGGAAGCCUUCGGGCGGAAGAUGGUUGACUUAGCGGCGGAUGGGUGAGUAACGCGUGGGCAACCUGCCUCGAAGACCGGGAUAACAGCCCGAAAGGGCUGCUAAUACCGGAUGUGGUCAAGGAUCCGCAUGGAUUUUUGAUUAAAGGGGAAACCCGUUUCGAGAUGGGCCCGCGUCCUAUCAGCUAGUUGGUGAGGUAAAAGCUCACCAAGGCGACGACGGGUAGCCGGCCUGAGAGGGUGACCGGCCACACUGGAACUGAGACACGGUCCAGACUCCUACGGGGGCAGCAGUGGGGAAUCUUCCACAAUGGGCGAAAGCCUGAUGGAGCAACGCCGCGUGGGUGAAGAAGGCCUCGGGUUGUAAGCCUGUCUUAUGGGAAGAAGUCAGUGACGGUACCGAUAGGAGGAAGCCACGGCUAACUACGUGCCAGCAGCCGCGGUAAGUGAGUAGUACGA